AGGAGUAAAACGUCUGCAGCUUCUCUAGCCGCUCGGUGAUGCUCAGGUGAUGGGAGCGGUCGUCCUGGUUGCGGUUGUCAUGGAAACAGUCUGACCCGGGGUCUGCUGCUGCCCCGUCCGACUGAGUCGUCCGGAGCAGCUCUGACGCUGGGUCUCUUGGUCGGGUCCGGCUCCAGCAGGGACAACACAAAUGACGCUGCACCUGCAACAGGAGCACAGUGCGGGAGGUGAAAUGUGGAGCUACCUUCGCUGACGUCACUGGGGAUGCUGCUGAUCUCCCCCUUUACCAUCUUCUGGUGCAGCUGUUUGAUGUUGAAAGGCUCGACAGUGAAGGGCAAAGUCCCUGUCAGCAUGGCAAACAUGCUCACACCUCUGCACACACGCACACACACACGCACAAACACACACACACACACACACACACACACACAUAGUGAAGAAACACACAUUUACAUUACACAGUACUACAGAGAUAAACUCUCAUUUCAAAUGCCCACACUGAGCUACAGUAGAAUGGUACAGGGCCAGACAACCUCCUGAACAGACACGCUGGCUGAGACUUUAACACUCACACCGACCAGACGUCCACUUUGGGUCCGUACUUCCUGUGGGCGAGCAGCUCGGGGGCUGCGUAGGCAGGACUUCCACACUGGGUGUUGAGAAGCUCCAGAGACAACGACUCUGCCUUCAGAGUGUUGCUAAGGCCAAAGUCUGUGUGAAACAUCAGCAUUUUUUUUCCAAUGGGGCUCUUGUUACUCCACAUUUACAGAUGCCCCACAGGGCUGCGAUAUCCUAGACCUACCCUUACCCCGAUGGUCAAAUGUCACGGGAGAAAGCGGAAAUGUCAACGUACCGACAAUCUUUAUGUUGUUAUGUUCGUCCAGCAGGAAGUUCUCAAUCUUCAGAUCUCUGCAGAGGAAGAAGAUGAGAGACGACAGAGAAGUUAAAAAGUGUGGUUCACUGUCGUAUUUAUAAGGUGGUUGUUCAAUUCAAGAGCUAUGAGCCUUUCAGUGUAUUUAUGGACCACCAGACGAGACGGGACCAGACCGGUCCCAACGAAGAACAGGAAAACCCAAGUGAAAUUUGGGUUUGGGUUGAGCUCAAGCGUUAAAAACACUGUUGAAAAAUGCCUGGGGAAACCUUCAGUAGCAAUUUUGGUAAUUGGUUUGCUUUGGACUCCUGAAGCCCUGCACACAAAGUUUUUCAACGGCUCUUCUUGACUUGCACUCGCUAUGCUCUACCGAGGUAAUACCUCUGUGUUCACCUGGAAAAGAGAGUCCUGAGAGGACCCCAGCCUCACUACUGACAACACUGCCUGCUCGUAAAGCUACCACGCUAAGAUGAAAAUCUGUGGUUAGGAGAGAGGGAGAGAGAUCCCCUAUAAAAUACAGCCUGGGAAAUCCGCCAUUUCUUUUCAUCUGCCUUCAUCUAACCAACAGACACUCCAGGUCCCCGAAACCCAGAGAACUUUGCUCACACGACCCAAGAAAAGUUCAAAGGCAGACGGGGUGGGGAAAAGAGCGAGAGCAGACGUUGUCGUAAAGGAGAAAAUGUAAUGCGGUGAAUCUGCUGAAUGUGGGUGGCAGGAGGUGCGUUCAAGUGCAAAUUUUCCAUUUAUUUCCAGUUUAAUCAUCUCUGUGUGGGUCUGUGGGAGACAGUGUGCGAGCGCCAGUGAGCAUAUGUGUGUGUGUGUGUGUGUGUGUGUGUGUGUGUGUGUGUGUGUGUGUGUGUGUGUGACAGAGAGAGGUGCUAUUGAAGGGUUGAGAGCGACAUCGUUGAGGGACUUCAUUAGAGAGGAAGUCCGUGAUGUCGUGAUGAUGUGUGAAUCAUGGCGCCGGCGCAAGAUGAUGAGCUCAUCGCCUGGUAAUCACAUUCCCACCUUCAGAGGAGCCAAGGUCUUAAAGCGAAGCCCAGAGCUGAGCAUGGCUCUAACCAUAACCUCCACCAUGCAACAGAUCGCUACUGUUCGGGGGUGCUCCACUGCAGAGAGGAUCUGUCGGGUGUAGCGCCGCACCUCGCGCUCUUCCAGCCUCUUCCUCUCACAGAUCCUGUCCAUCAGGUCUCCUCCUGCACAGAGCUCCAUGGCCAUGUAGUAGCUGUUCUCUGUCUCCAGAGUCUGACACAAACAGGACUACGAUGUGAGGAUGUCGCACCAUCUGAUGAAUACGAGGUUCCCUCUUCAUGUUCUUCAGGACGUAUGAGUCCUGCCGUGCUUUUUUCUUGUCUAUCACCUUAAUGGCCACCUAAACACACACACACACACCGUUAACUUCAAAUAAUAAGGAAGUCAUCUUUUGUAAUGCUCUCAGUGCUGGUAGUUCCAAAUCAUCCGAGUGAAACUUAUUUUCAUGUUUACCUUCAAGAUGAGGAUGAUGAAGGAAAAGAAAGAACUUGGCCUGCUCAGGAAAUUAAUCUCCUCAAAGUGAUAUUUAUUGAAAACGAUUCAGCUCAUACGGAUGAGUCUGGGAUAAUGUAUCGGGUAAACACUUGAGUGUGUGAAUGACAGUAUAUGUUUGGCAGAAUUUUAAAAAUUCAGCUUAUUUUCGGUGUGUGUGUUUUAAUAUCUGCAGAUUUCACCUCCACAGGUCUUGUAGCGGCAGAGAGUAACAGAGGCUAAGAGGAGCAAACCCCCCUGGAGAUGAGUUUGGUUGCAGCUAUGGCAACCAGGUCAGGUAGGAUCCCACCCGCUUGGAGUGUGGGAAGCUGCGCAGCAGCUCCCUGGGGACCAUCAGGGACGGGAGCGGCAGCCUCUCCCGCUCAGGCUUGGGGGUUUCCCACUGGGACACUCCUGCAUCCCCUCCCUCGGCCACCAUGUCCUCUGGACUGGGCUUCACUGCAGCAGCUGGCAUCCCGCACAGAGUCCGGGCCCCAUGUGGCUGCCUCCGACCCUCACGAUCAAAUCCCAAAACAGGACUGACCUUGUACGACACACAUACUAACACACACACGUACACAAACACACGCCCAAUGGUUUGUUGCUGCCAAAAAUAAAGAUUGGAUCCAAAUCCUUUCUUCGGGAGCAGGUGCGUGUCCUUGGCAACAGAUUUCUGUAUCCUCCCACUCUCAGAUAAGUAAUUCCAUUAUUCCAGAAUCUUUGAUUGAUGAUUUCACUCUUUCUUCUUAGCUUAUUUUACCUUUUUAACAACUGCAGGUGCCUUAAAAGUGUCUCUGUUUCAGUCCAACUGCGCGGAGGUCUACUGGCUUCUCUCACUCCGUCUCUCUCUGCUGGGUAGUGGAUGAUUAACCGUCAUGGCUCUUAGGUCACCUCCAGUGAUGAGGAGGACAUUCUACACCGUAAAUACCCCCCCCCCCCCCCCUCCCCUCCACUGCACACACCAAGCCUCUAACUGACACGAUCAGGGGAAGUUUCUUGGCUGUGGAAACACAUCCGAGUUCUUAUGGCACAAAGAGGUGGACCGAACACAGCCACGUGCGACGGGACCAACACGACUCGGGGCCGGCUUGUGUCGUCAGCGACAUUUUUCGAAACCCAGAAAUCAGCUCCACAGUCGACUGAGGUGGGACGGCGUGAAUGUCCGCAUAGUGAGCGAGCUGUAGAAGAAGAGGUGCAGUUUGUUUGGGCGGGAGGAAGCUGCUAUUUACACAAAAGCUCUCUCGAUUUCGGCCUCUCGCCGCCUCAGUAUGGAGGAUUUGGCUGCCGCCAUCAGUCCGAUCAGCAGAUAACACCAGAGCUGUUUUCUACAGGAGCUACCACGGAAUCAAAGGACAUGGAUGCUGAUGCUCCCUGACAGUAAGGCCUGCUGCUAAUCUGAGUCCGUCUACCCAGAGGCCUUUUUCUUGGCUCGGUGCUGCUGUAGGAACCUCUGAAGCUGUGGCUUUCAGCACCAGACGAUCAGGACAGAUUUUGGUGAAGAACGUCUUGUUCCGAGCCCUGAUGCUGUAGGUUAAUGUCAUUAUUCGUUUGUAAAAGAUGUGGGGUGUGUGUGCGUGCGUGGGUGCGUGUGUGUGCGUGUGUGUGUGUGUGCGUGUGCGUGUGCGUGCGUGCGUGCGUCAGGCUGGCACUGUUUUCCAGCAUUGUUAAGACCCAUCUAUCAUGGACAUAUAAUAUUUGUAAUAGUUUGACAUAGUUUAUGUUUCCUAUACUAUAUAUUAUAUGUAUUAUUUUUCAUUCAAGUACUCAAGUACACAAAUGCUUACUGUUCGCUCCUACAGUAUAUUACAAUUUAAAAGUAGUGUUACCCUGUGUGUGUAGUUGUUUCUAGAUAUGAGAAAAUUACUACUUCUCAAUCUAUAACGUCAGUAAACAUUUAGGAGCAUAUGGUCUCAGGCUCUAGUGUCAAGUCUUCUCCAAUGCAGUAUGAUGUUCGUUUAGUAAAUUAUGGUCCCAUUUAGAGUCAAAUAGACGAUAAAGCACCGUAUGCAUUGGUGCGUGGAUACAGCGUGAUUGACAGCUGGUCCAUCCAAUCGGUGAGUGGUUGCAGGUGUAGGUGGGUGCACAGUGAAUGACCCCCAAUCCUACGUCUGGUUGCAAAAAAAGACAACAUGGCACUGGUCAAAAUGUGAAACUCAAGGUUUCAAAGCGGCCGUUCACAAACCAACAGGCGACGUCACGGGUGGUUGCCACGUGUUUCAGACAUGCACUGCAACCCUGAUCUUUUCUAGACGAUAACCUGAAGGAGCUGUACGUGUGAACACAAAUGUCCAAAUCAGUCAAACUGGACAUUAGAGACGUUACCCUGCCAGCUCGCUAGUACAAAGACUGCUCAAUGUCCCACUGAGCCGAUGUGUAAACAGUUAAAGAGCUGAAUCUGGCUGACACUAGACAGCGAAAACGACAGAAUGACAUCACGAAUAUGCUGAAUGGUGUAUUGCUACUUCACAACAGUUUUCAGCUACAUGCUCAAUUCUGCACAAUGACCAUCCAGUAUACACUAGGUUGUGACCUGGUACUGGUCAUCUUAAACUAUCCAUACACAUUAAUUCACUUCAUUUUCCCUUCUCCACACAGAGGUCAAAGGUCAAAUCAGGUAAGAGCUCUUGGAGCCGGGAGGGUUUAGAAGUAUAUAAGAGCUCGGGGGGUUUUCAGAUUAAAGGAUCACAUCCUGUACUAACCAGCCACAC
Scophthalmus maximus (turbot) is the source of this 5082-nucleotide long non-coding RNA. RefSeq lists it as uncharacterized. The transcript is spliced from 11 exons. NCBI's taxonomy places the organism in Eukaryota, Metazoa, Chordata, Actinopteri, Pleuronectiformes, Scophthalmidae. The record is from RefSeq and is a predicted model, not a curated record.